UUUUUUUCCAUGAUUGACUAAUGCAGUUUUUCCACCUAAGGUUAAGAGGAGAUGGAUGACUGAGCUAGCACAUGUUAAAUGUCCAAGAGAUAGGUGCUGUUAAGGAUUGCCUUGAUGCAUCAAAUUCAUUCUUGGCAUUUCCUGAAAGAAACCUGGACAAAUAUUAAAUGGAUUCCAGACAUGCCACCUGACUACAGAAUUGUAAGGCAGGGCAAUAUUGUAAGCAGGGAGAUCAUACUCCUUUCUGUGACGUUUAGAUGGGCUAACUCCCAGAGUUACAUAAGUUAAUGUUCGUGCAUUCUCAUUUUAAACUUUUUUUUAAAAUGUAUUUAUUUUAUUUUAGAUCAUAUGUACUUAUAUCUGUAAAUUGUAUUGGGCGUAGACAUUUUGAAUACUAUGUACACUUUACUGCUGUCAUGCAAAUUUACACAUUAUCAUUUUCCAAAUUUUAUCCUGAAAGUGUUAUCAAAUAGGAAAGGUGAGGUUACAUAGACUCCAAAGGGACUUCACGUGUCUUCUUCCUGAAAGUAAAUGUCAAGUGGAAGAGAUGAGGUCGUAUGGACUUUUUCUUUUUUUUUUGAGUUUAUUUAAGAAUUUGUUGAGGAGUUAGCUUUUGAGUUAAGAAAGGAAUCAUACAAAAUGUAAUAAUUUUUUUGUUUAUUGAAGUAAAAAUAAUCUACUCGUAUUUCAAGUGUGGUUGAUUCUUUUUACAAACAGUGGGAAUUACCUGCGCCAAGAACAUUGUGAUAUAAUGGAAUUUGACCAAAACCUUCUCACAAGUAGGACUUGUCCACUCAGUAUGCUGACCACUUCAUUGACAUCUCAUUCUGUGGCCAUGUAUAAUUGUAAUCGUCAGUAUUAGAAUGUGGCAUUAGAAAACAUGCUUGAUUUUUCAUGAGUAGACCCUGGGGAGCUGUAUAAUUAACGUCCACCUUCAACCCCCUUAAAAAAAUAAAAAUAAAAGUAUAAAAGAAAAACUAUAUAUUUCUUAAUAGAUUUUCAGCUUAAUCAGCAGUAUUAACUAAACUGGGAUUUUUGGGGAAUGAACCAAAGACUUGGUUGAUCAAAAUUGGUCACAUACCCAACUCCAUUACAGUAUGUCCCCAGUCCAUCUAUCAUAGCCUAAAAUGGUAAGUUAUGGGUUUAGUGUAUACUACCAAGAGGAAUGCAUCCGAGUAAUCGUUAGAGCUUGGUUAGCUCAGAUUCACCAUAAUUAAUAACAUCUCACUGGGGUUAUAUGUCAAGAAAGAUCGGUUUUAGGGCAGAGCUAUGAAAGUGGAGCAGUCACCGUGGAAACCAAUGGAGUGUUCCGGCUGAUUGUUCCACAACUAGACUGAUUUCCAUGGAAACCAGAAUAUUCUCCCCACUGAUUUUAAAAAAAACAACCCUUAUAUAUUUGGAUUCCUUUUGAUUCUCUAAUUCUGGUUUUGUCUCCACAAGGAAUAAUUGACCAAGCCAAGAUUAGAACACAUUACGUAUUUUAAAUUGUACAUAUUAAUCUGUGAUCUUGUAGCCUUUUUACUGGCUUUUUUUUUUGUAUUUGUGUAUGUUUAAGGGAAACUUGGGUCACAUCCAGAAGUAUGUAAAAAUAUUUAUUUUUUUAUGUUCUUUUUUUUUUUUUGCGUGGUAUCUUAUUUUAAUUGUUAAAGUCACAUGUUCCUAAUAAUAUAACUGAUAAAUAAACAUAAUUGCUUUUGUAUGUUCCAAGUCAAUGUUCCCCCUAAGCCAGAGAUAGGCAACCUCCAACAUUCCAGAUGCUGAGGACUAGACCUCCCUUGAUGCUUUGCAUUAUGGGAGAUGUAGUUCAAAAACAUCUGGAGUGCCGAAAAUUGUCUACCUCUGCCCUAAGCCAUUUUCGAGUGGUCCAGUACUAAAGCAUUAUGAAAAUAAAUCACUAAAACAACCACAAGUUUUAGUUAGCAUUUGAUACUUCCAGUUACUAUGCAAAUUGUGCAUUGUUAUAAAGAUGAUUCUUAUCUUUUUCCGUGCUGGGCCAAUCACAAGAAAAUUGCUUAAAGGGAAUAUUUCAGUACACGCCAUAUGUUUCCUGAUGUUUUGGAAACAACAAGAAUUUGCCUCUGAAACACAAACUGCAGUACAGAAGCAUUUGCAAACUAAGCCAAAUAUUUUUAUCAGAUUUUUUUUUUAUGUGUUAACUGUGAUAAUAGAUAUUUUCUGAAUUGAGUUUUCACUAAAAUCAUUUUGUAUUGACCAA
RNAcentral lists this long non-coding RNA (2215 nucleotides) under Pelobates cultripes (western spadefoot toad). Lineage: Eukaryota; Metazoa; Chordata; Amphibia; Anura; Pelobatidae. The record is from RNAcentral.